RNAcentral lists this ribosomal RNA (503 nucleotides) under uncultured bacterium. RNAcentral's name for it is "bacterial SSU rRNA". It matches the Rfam family "Bacterial small subunit ribosomal RNA", at positions 791 to 1314 of the family's 1533-position model. The record is from RNAcentral.
UAGUCCACGCCGUAAACGAUGAAUGCUAGUCGUCGGUCGGCAUGCCGUUCGGUGACGCAGCUAACGCAUUAAGCAUUCCGCCUGGGGAGUACGGUCGCAAGAUUAAAACUCAAAGGAAUUGACGGGGGGCCCGCACAAGCAGUGGAGCAUGUGGUUUAAUUCGAAGCAACGCGCAGAACCUUACCACCACUUGACAUCACCAUCGCGAUUUCCGGAGACGGAUUUCUUCAGUUCGGCUGGAUGGAUGACAGGUGCUGCAUGGCUGUCGUCAGCUCGUGUCGUGAGAUGUUGGGUUAAGUCCCGCAACGAGCGCAACCCUCGCCUUUAGUUGCCAGCAUUUAGUUGGGCACUCUAGAGGAACCGCCGGUGAUAAGCCGGAGGAAGGUGGGGAUGACGUCAAGUCCUCAUGGCCCUUACGUGUGGGCUACACACGUGCUACAAUGGCGCUAACAAUGGGUUAAUCCCUAAAAGGCGUCUCAGUUCGGAUUGUCGGCUGCAACUCG